This 449-nucleotide ribosomal RNA is filed under the name uncultured Streptococcus sp. RNAcentral describes it as "bacterial SSU rRNA". It matches the Rfam family "Bacterial small subunit ribosomal RNA", at positions 933 to 1382 of the family's 1533-position model. The record is from RNAcentral. Lineage: Bacteria; Bacillati; Bacillota; Bacilli; Lactobacillales; Streptococcaceae.
UGGAGCAUGUGGUUUAAUUCGAAGCAACGCGAAGAACCUUACCAGGUCUUGACAUCCCGAUGCUGUUUCUAGAGAUAGAAAGUUACUUCGGUACAUCGGUGACAGGUGGUGCAUGGUUGUCGUCAGCUCGUGUCGUGAGAUGUUGGGUUAAGUCCCGCAACGAGCGCAACCCCUAUUGUUAGUUGCCAUCAUUCAGUUGGGCACUCUAGCGAGACUGCCGGUAAUAAACCGGAGGAAGGUGGGGAUGACGUCAAAUCAUCAUGCCCCUUAUGACCUGGGCUACACACGUGCUACAAUGGUUGGUACAACGAGUUGCGAGUCGGUGACGGCGAGCUAAUCUCUUAAAGCCAAUCUCAGUUCGGAUUGUAGGCUGCAACUCGCCUACAUGAAGAUGGAGUUACUAGUAACCGCAGGUCAGCUAUACUGCGGUGAAUACGUUCCCGGGGCUU